UGAACGCUGGCGGCCGGCCUAACACAUGCAAGUCGAGCGGAUGAAGGGAGCUUGCUCCUGGAUUCAGCGGCGGACGGGUGAGUAAUGCCUAGGAAUCUGCCUGGUAGUGGGGGAUAACGUCCGGAAACGGGCGCUAAUACCGCAUACGUCCUGAGGGAGAAAGUGGGGGAUCUUCGGACCUCACGCUAUCAGAUGAGCCUAGGUCGGAUUAGCUAGUUGGUGGGGUAAAGGCCUACCAAGGCGACGAUCCGUAACUGGUCUGAGAGGAUGAUCAGUCACACUGGAACUGAGACACGGUCCAGACUCCUACGGGAGGCAGCAGUGGGGAAUAUUGGACAAUGGGCGAAAGCCUGAUCCAGCCAUGCCGCGUGUGUGAAGAAGGUCUUCGGAUUGUAAAGCACUUUAAGUUGGGAGGAAGGGCAGUAAGUUAAUACCUUGCUGUUUUGACGUUACCAACAGAAUAAGCACCGGCUAACUUCGUG
Molecule: ribosomal RNA, 482 nt
Filed under: uncultured bacterium
Lineage: Bacteria
Description: partial 16S ribosomal RNA
Rfam family: Bacterial small subunit ribosomal RNA
Source: RNAcentral